AGUGAAUAGAUACCCUGGUAGUCCACGCCCUAAACGAUGUCAACUAGGUGUUGGGUGGGUAAAACCAUUUAGUACCGGAGCUAAACGCGUGAAAGUUGACCGCCUGGGGAGUACGGCCGCAAGGUUAAAACUCAAAGGAAUUGACGGGGACCCGCACAAGCGGUGGAUGAUGUGGAUUAAUUCGAUGCAACGCGAAAAAACCUUACCUACCCUUGACAUGCCAGGAACUUGCCAGAGAUGGCUUGGUGCCCGAAAGGGAGCCUGGACACAGGUGCUGCAUGGCUGUCGUCAGCUCGUGUCGUGAGAUGUUGGGUUAAGUCCCGCAACGAGCGCAACCCUUGUCGUUAAUUGCCAUCAUUUGGUUGGGCACUUUAACGAGACUGCCGGUGACAAACCGGAGGAAGGUGGGGAUGACGUCAAGUCCUCAUGGCCCUUAUGGGUAGGGGCUUCACACGUCAUACAAUGGUCGGUACAGAGGGUUGCCAAGCCGCGAGGCGGAGCCAAUCCCACG
RNAcentral lists this ribosomal RNA (511 nucleotides) under uncultured bacterium. RNAcentral describes it as "bacterial SSU rRNA". It matches the Rfam family "Bacterial small subunit ribosomal RNA", at positions 774 to 1278 of the family's 1533-position model. The record is from RNAcentral.